UAUGUCAGGAAGGGCAAGAACAACGGGCGGGUGGGACGACCGAAGAAGCUCAAGACACCCAACCGCCCCCUCCGCCUCCUCCACCUCCACCGGCAAACCGCAGGAGAGGCUCAGGUCAGCCCAAAUCAGGAAAGCGAGGCGUCCUGAAGCGCCCCUGGUCAGAGGCAGAGCGCGCAGCAGUUGAGGAGCACCUGACCCAAAACAUCACUGAGCUCCGAGUCCCCGCCAAGGCCGACUGCGAGCGCUGCCUGCAGCAGUGCCCCCUGCUGGUCAGCAACCACCGUGACUGGCGAGCCAUCAAGUUCUACUGCCACAACCGCAUCCAGCUGUUGAAGAAAAACCAGCGGCGUGAAAGCGAGCCACAGCCCCUCACCGUUUGCUGAGAAAGGGGGGGUGUACACGGGAGGGAGGGAGGGGCUUGGUCCAGCUGAUCAGAGCAGAUUCUCAAAUGGUACCUUGCUGCCCAGGAAAUGCACUAAUUUUGAGAGGACGGUCAUAAAUUUCACUCUACUCUUCUGGGUGCGUUUUUUCGACACAGUCUCUAAUUUGACACCUGAUGACGUUUUAUUUUGAGCCACACAAGAACAUAAAUUUCGACUAACUUUUUUCGCUGCUCUACUUUAACGUCUUAUAAGAAAAAAGUUACACUAAAGUCUUUAUGGUGCUCCUGUUUUGAGGAAUUACAGUACAAGUCUUGUCAAAAGCAGUGCACUUGGACGGGUGCCGUUUGAGACAUUGCCUUGGCGGGUGGGGGGACUUCAGAGACCACAGCACUGGCUGCAGCCUGUGUUGUGUUGUAUAUGGACUUUAUUUUUCUCUCUCCUUCCAAAAUGGAUACACUAAACUGAAAUGUAAACAAGGGAGGCGACUGAGCCCUACAGUGUUGUUGUAUGAACGUCGUGAAGUAGCAUUAGUGUUUUAUGCACUCAGAGACGUUAAUAGGACAAAUGGCCUGUGUCUGGGCCACACUUUUCUUAUAGUGGCUUUAUAAUUAGAGUAGGCCUAACUAAUGCUAACUUAGAAGAAUAGCCCAAUCUUUCCUCCUUCAACAAGCUAGUUCUUCUUUUCAUACAGCUGUGCAAUUCUCACUAUGGUUUCAUUAUAUUUGGACCCUGAGGUACUAGAUGAUGAAUGAGUUACGCUUUUACAGUUACUAUGAAGUUUGUUUUUAUUACUGAAAUGGAACAUGAUAUUGUGAUCAUUUUUUGAGUUGUGGGUUUCAUGACAGAGACAAUUAAAUGGCAUCAGAAUGUUGUGAAGUUACUUAUGAAUACCUAAGAUAUUUAGUUAAACCACAAAGUCCAAGAAACGUAUUCUAAGAACUGUCGUCUUUGUCCUUUCCCCCAUUAACAGACAAGAUGUCAGCAGCUACCCUUCUCCCCCAGAGGAACAAUAUGUUCAUCUUUCCUAUUGUUUAUUGUUGUUUUUUUUUUCUGCCUGUUGCACAUUUGUUAUUCAGAGAAGUUAAAAAAGGUGCUAUAGGCCACUAAGCUGGAUAUCACUUUAUAUGUGGAGAGGAGAUUUCCCAUGGUUGUGUUAGAAGUUUCUUAAAAAAGUGGGCAUUUAUCAGAGAAGUGAUUGUUCUGUGUCGCCACGUCUGUUGCAUCGUCUGUGUUGUCUUUUUUCCAACGGCUAGAGCUCCUCCUGUUCUUUCCCAGCCACACUACAUGGUUUGCAGCUUGACCAGAUUUCUGGUUUCUCCUCUGGUGUUGCUGGAAAUCUGCGUCCAUUGGACUAAAACCUCCAUGAAACCUCAAGACAGAUACUUGAAGUUAUUUAAACCUUUUGCGGAAUCUUUAUGUUCUUUCUUGCUCUAGCCUUGCCAGUUACGUUGUACAUAACAAAUAUAUUAUCAUUAUGCUAACUGGUUGUUUGUGCUAGACUACAUGUAGCUUUUUUCCAUUUCUGAGUUAUUGCUAUCUGUACAUAAGCCUGUUUGUAAAUACUCCUCAGAGAAACAAAGAAAAAACACAAUGUAUGACAUGCCUUGGUUAUUGUGUUAUGUUUUUUCUUUUUUAUAAGUCUUAUAAAAAUUUAAAGUUA
Molecule: long non-coding RNA, 2043 nt
Organism: Lates calcarifer (barramundi perch)
Lineage: Eukaryota; Metazoa; Chordata; Actinopteri; Centropomidae
Exons: 2
Source: RefSeq, a predicted model, not a curated record